GAGAGAGAGAGAGAGGGCACCUGUGUAUCAAGGUCUGACGAUGAUAGGGAAGAGAAGCUCACUGAGCCCAAAUUGAAAGAGCCUGGAUCGUCUGCUGCAAUGUUAAAGGUUUCCAUCACCCUGAGUCUCAAAUUCAAACUUUCUAGGCCAAGGGGCCAGCCACUUGGCAUCCUGUCAACCUAAGAGCAUGUUAAGACAUUAAUGCAAACAAGCGCUAAGUGUAGAUAAAUAGGAAAGCAGUAAACCAUUGGUGCACAUAUGGAUAGACAUUUGUGCACAUACAUGGGAAGAUUAACGAAUGGAUAUCCAAUUUUCCUGUGCUGCAUAAUUCAUAAUUUCACACUUGAAAACCACCCAGAGGUAAAGGCCGAUUUCUCACAGAAAAAGAAGCACUUCAAUGCACAACAAAUAAGUCUACUGAAAAUCGCCAUAGUACCAAUUUCCAACUGCCCCAAAUUACGGUGAAUUUUCCAUCAUUUGGAGGGACUUAUUUCACUAGAACAUGGAAUAUGAUUACGUCACAUGCACAGAAGUUCCAUUUGAAACAAAGGCAACUCGUAACAUUUGCAUAUGUGCAUAUUUACACUUGGAUACAACUGUCAAUUCGAUCCUUUACAUUGAGUUUGAGAAGAUAACUCUCUAAAAUCCACAUAAUUUCCUAUGUUUUAAUCCAUCUUCAAAUGGAACUUGUGAGUUUUGAAACCUGAAUUUCAUGGAGAAAAGUAUCCCUUUUGACAUUGCAUAAAAGUCAACCAUUCAGAUAAGCCCUUUUAAGCCCUACAGCCUAUUGUUGCUGUUGUUUCUCAAUUCAAAAUCAACCAGCUGUUUGCCUUUUGCUGGAUUCAAUAACCUUCAAAGUGUCUGAAUUGAAAACCCCCAUCAUUCUCCUCCAUAGCAACCCUAAUAGCGCCCAUGUGCAAAAGCCAUGUGAAAGGCACAGUCACUAAUAUAUACUAAAUAGUCCAUAUAUAUAACUAAAGCUGGCCACAUUGAAUGCAGCCUAGAAUAAAUGUGGUUUACUCUAGAAUUUUACUAAAACUUCCAAACCAAUGUUGUCAAAUUUGCUUCAGAUUCCUCUUCGGUUUGGUGAGAAAAAUGAAGCAAUUUGGUGCUUCGGCUGAUUCGGGGAAAAAUUUCAGAUUUUUUUUUUAAUUUAGUAUAAAUAAUUUAGAUAUUUAAUUUAGUAUAAAUAAAUUAAAUAUUUAUAUAUAAAAUAUAUACAAAUAAUGGAAAAAAUAAAUAAAUAAAUACUUUUAUAUAGCUAUUUCUUUGUUGGCCGAAACAGACCCGCCCUGAAUCUGACCGAAGCGGCAACACCUGGCUUCGCUUCUCUUCAGUUUAUGUCCAAAAUCCGAAGGCUUCGGCCUCUUCGGCCGAAGCAAAGCGAAUUUGAUAACAUUGUUCUAAACCAUGGAAGGGAAGAAGGCCAAGUCAAGUCCACAAGAGGUUUCAAGACCAUCACAUGAUGUGUUUAUAUAGAUUGGGCUGAUUCCCAAAAGGUAGGAGGCCAAUCAGAUCAGUUGGGGUAAACUACGAAGUAGAAGGCAAUAAAUAAGCAUACAAAACCAGUAUUAAAGAUAACUUUUUUGUUUCUUUUGGAGAAAUAGUUAACUAUUAUCGAAGAGAACUGCAACAUAUGGGGUCACUACCAAGGUUGGCUUCGAUAAAGAAAUUGGUUCGAGAGAUAACAACCAAGUUCCUAACUGCAGGCGAUGGUUUGUGACAAUUAGAGACCUUUCUCAUAGCCUCUACCAAAGGAAACACUGCUUCCAGAUUUUUAGUUGCAUGACAACCUCCACAAGAGUAUUUCAGUCUAUACCAUAAUCCUAGUUGUAGUAUCCAGAAACCCAAACAUCAGUUUCUAUAGCAUCAUGGUCUUAGAGCCAUGCCAAUAUACAGCACCAGUAUUGCAUAUGUAUUUCCUUAAAAGGGGCGAAGACAAAGAUCUGAAUCUUUUCAGUCAGAGGUAAUAGAUCACAAGCCUACUUAAUGUAGACAAAAUCUUCAAGCUUCAUUAACUUUCCCUCUUAAAUAUUUCCCAAGUAUAAGUGAGUCCUCAACAAUGGACCAUUUUCUCUUCUCUUUGACUCUCUCCCUCGCUAUUUUUUUUCCUUUUUCCUUUUUCAGCUAGAUGUCAACAGACCAUUUACAGUAAUAUCGCAUCAAUCGAAUCUCAUGUAUCGAUCAGAGCCAUGGAUGAUGGGAUGAAUGCUAUUAAAUCCUAGUCUCAAGCCAAUUCACCCAACGAAAGACCUGAGUCUAGAGGUGUAUUUGAUUUUGAAAAUGGAUUCGGAUAGAGGUAAACAUGAUAAAGCAAAAGACUGAUAAAAGUAUUCACAAACUGAAAGCCAGGAUCAAUGCUAAUGGCUGAGACAAAAGGGGGGUUUAUCAACAAUACGAUCCUCACUCAUAUAAACGUUUUUCCAUCAAAAUUAAUCGGAUUGUCAAUCCAACAGCAUGUUUAUCGAAUCAUGAAGUCAAUGACUCUAUUAUUUGUAAUUUAAUUCCUUUUUUUUUUUUAUGAUCAUCAAUUUCUACAAGCUUCAAACAUGGCAACUAAUUCUCUGAUACUGAAUUUAAAGUUUAAUCCAUGAAUUCACCCAUCAAUAUAUCAGAAGCACGUAUCAUAGAUCAACUAUAAACCACAGCCUGAAAAAUAAUAAACCUCAAAAAAAUGAAUGCAAAAUAACAGAAGAGAAAUGGAACGAAAUGAGGAAAAGAGAGAUUUUACCGCCUGAGUAGCCAUGUUAUUAUCAUCCGUUCUUCAUGUGAUAUGUAGCCUUACAUCUAUAUAAAAGUGAAUCUAUCUCUCUCUAGUAGUUGGGAUUCUUAAUUCUGCAUUAUUAUAAGCAAAAGGCCUUACAGUAGGCUGGUAUGGUAGAGAGAGAGAAAGAGAGUCGUUUCCCCUCUAGUGAGAGAGAGAGAGAGAGAGUGUGGUUCAUCAGUCGCUUUUAGAGACAGCAUAUAUUUCGUGGAUGAGAGAGAGGUUUCUUUUCGGUGUAGAGAGAGAGAGAGGCUUCUUCUGUGGUUAUAGAGAGAGAGAGAUCCAGCGUCUCUUUCGCCAGGAAGCGUGAUGACAGGGGAAUACGAGGAGUGAGUUGACUGGAUAAAUCUUUUGCCCCAAAU
This 3126-nucleotide long non-coding RNA is filed under the name Amborella trichopoda. RNAcentral describes it as "long non-coding RNA (ATRI_LNC000991)". Lineage: Eukaryota; Viridiplantae; Streptophyta; Magnoliopsida; Amborellales; Amborellaceae. The record is from RNAcentral.